GCCGGAGUAGCUCAGCCAGGCAGAGCAGCUCACUCGUAAUGAGCAGGCCAGGGGUUCAAAUCCCCUCUCCGGCU
Molecule: transfer RNA, 74 nt
Filed under: bacterium
Lineage: Bacteria
Also listed under: 2 other names
Description: tRNA-Thr
Rfam family: tRNA
About the family: Transfer RNA (tRNA) molecules are approximately 80 nucleotides in length.
Source: RNAcentral